Molecule: long non-coding RNA, 974 nt
Filed under: Sus scrofa (pig)
Lineage: Eukaryota; Metazoa; Chordata; Mammalia; Artiodactyla; Suidae
Source: RNAcentral
GAAAUAACAUGUAAGAACUAUACUGUUGGGUGGGAAUGCAAAAACUCUCUGCUAAGACUUUUUCAGGUGAACAUAACAGACUUGGCCAAGCUAGCAUCUUAGCUGAAGCAGAUUCUCCAGUGCUCUUCAGUAGGGUCUUAAAAUUUAAAGGUUUUGCUUUUUGGCCUUUACCUAGCUUUAAAAAAAAAAGCAAAAGAUGCUGGUGGUUGGCACUCCUGGCUUCCAGGACAGGGUUCAAAUCCCUGCGGCGUCUUUGCUUGACUUUUACUUCUGCCUUUCCGUUUUCCUCCUUUUUCUUCAGAUGAAGUUAGGGGAAGUGGAAGUAGCUUCAAACUAUACUAUACCUCUUGAUUGAAUUUGUCCUAAACUGGUUUGUGUUUGUAUUUUCACAGGAAUCUAGUGUAAUUACUUUGCCCUUUUAAUUUUCAGGUAUCUCUCAUGCAUCUGUUGUUUGGAGCAGUCUCACUAUUUUUAAAAAUAGAUGACAUAUUAAUAAAGGUUGAAAAACUUCAUUGGUGUGAUUCUUUUGUGCAUAAGCUGAACUUCUCUAUCCAUGAGUAGUCAGAAGAUGGGUGUCUUGUGGGGGUUCUUGUUCCUGUUUUAACUAGUUGUCUAAAAAGCACACUGCACUGUCAAGCCACCAAAUUUCUAGGGGGGCAGGGGACCCCUCUGGAGGGGGAGGUGGUCUAGUGGGUGAGUGACCCGAAAGACCCAGUAACAUACCCACAGAAAUAAGAAGGGACACUUUAAAGCAGCAGUUGGCCGUGAGUGUGGCUGGAUCUGGAGAGCUGGAGACCACGUGGUCUGGUAGGUUGUCGAUUCCCAAGCUGUAAAGUGAUCUUGUGGUCACCUGUCCUGUGGAAUGGCCAGUGUUCCGGCAGAUAGACCUUCAAUUGCAACUGAAGUGCCCUUUUUAAGUCCUACCCAUCUUUUAAGUCCUUGCUUCUCAAGCCCUGUUCCCUGAAAAGGAGAGC